Molecule: ribosomal RNA, 777 nt
Filed under: uncultured Neocallimastigales
Lineage: Eukaryota; Fungi; Neocallimastigomycota; Neocallimastigomycetes; Neocallimastigales
Description: partial large subunit ribosomal RNA
Rfam family: Eukaryotic large subunit ribosomal RNA
Source: RNAcentral
UAUCUCUGUAGAGUCUGCAUAUCAAUAAGCGGAGGAAAAGAAACUAACUAAGGAUUCCCUCAGUAACGGCGAGUGAAGCGGGAAGAGCUCAAAUUUGAAAUCUUCAAGGUUUUACCUUGACGAAUUGUAGUUUAAAGAAGUGUUUUCUGUUGGAGUUUUGGUAAAAGUUCUUUGGAAUAGGACAUCAUAGAGGGUGAGAAUCCCGUAUUUGACCAUUAUUUCCAGCUUCGUGAUACACUUUCAAAGAGUCGGAUUGUUUGGGAAUCGCAGUCCAAAAUGGGUGGUAAAUUUCAUCUAAAGCUAAAUAUUGGCGAGAGGACCGAUAGCGAACAAGUACCGUGAGGGAAAGGAUGAAAAGAACUUUGAAAAGAGAGUUAAACAGUACGUGAAAUUGUCAAAAGGGAAGCGUUUGACACCAGUGUUGUUUCUACGAAAAUCAAUUUAUGAUGGCUUGAUGCUAAGCUUUAAGACUUUAUCCGCUUGUUGUUUAGUUUUCUUGUCUUUGUGAAUGCACUUUUCGUGGAACAAGUCAACAUCAAUUUCUUUUGCUGUAAAAGGGUAAGAGGAAGGUGGCUUCGGCUUCGGUUGAAGUGUUUAUAGCCUUUUAUCUCUGCAGUCGGAGAGAUUGAGGUCUGCAGCGUAGACUCUUCGGGGUUAGAUACGUCGGUGCUAAGCUAUAGCUUUUCAUAGACAACUUGUUGACUAUGUUUAGUCAUGUGGCUUACCCGCUGGCGCUAUUUUACCUACGCUUAGGAUGUUGAGUCAUCACACAUCUCU